GACGAACGCUGGCGGCGCGCCUAACACAUGCAAGUCGAACGAGCGAGCGAGAGCUUGCUUUCUUGAGCGAGUGGCGAACGGGUGAGUAACGCGUGAGGAACCUGCCUCAAAGAGGGGGACAACAGUUGGAAACGACUGCUAAUACCGCAUAAGCCCACGGUGCCGCAUGGCACAGAGGGAAAAGGAGCAAUCCGCUUUGAGAUGGCCUCGCGUCCGAUUAGCUAGUUGGUGAGGUAACGGCCCACCAAGGCGACGAUCGGGAGCCGGACUGAGAGGUUGAACGGCCACAUUGGGACUGGGACACGGCCCAGACUCCUACGGGAGGCAGCAGGGGGGAAUAUUGCACAAUGGGGGAAACCCUGAUGCAGCGACGCCGCGUGGAGGAAGAAGGUCUUCGGAUUGUAAACUCCUGUUGUUGGGGAAGAUAAGGACGGUACCCAACAAGGAAAUGACGGCUAACUACGU
RNAcentral lists this ribosomal RNA (465 nucleotides) under uncultured bacterium. RNAcentral describes it as "partial 16S ribosomal RNA". It matches the Rfam family "Bacterial small subunit ribosomal RNA", at positions 28 to 506 of the family's 1533-position model. The record is from RNAcentral.